GUUUUAAUAGUUUAAGUCUAAACCAUUGAUCUUGUAAAUCAAAAAUAAAUUAUAUUUUUAAAACA
RNAcentral lists this transfer RNA (65 nucleotides) under Eiconaxius baja. RNAcentral's name for it is "tRNA-Thr". It matches the Rfam family "tRNA". From Rfam's summary of the family: Transfer RNA (tRNA) molecules are approximately 80 nucleotides in length. Their secondary structure includes four short double-helical elements and three loops (D, anti-codon, and T loops). The record is from RNAcentral. Lineage: Eukaryota; Metazoa; Arthropoda; Malacostraca; Decapoda; Axiidae.